This 332-nucleotide ribosomal RNA is filed under the name uncultured Prevotella sp. Its description in RNAcentral is "bacterial SSU rRNA". It matches the Rfam family "Bacterial small subunit ribosomal RNA", at positions 354 to 680 of the family's 1533-position model. The record is from RNAcentral. Lineage: Bacteria; Pseudomonadati; Bacteroidota; Bacteroidia; Bacteroidales; Prevotellaceae.
UGAGGGAAUAUUUGGGGUCAAUGGGCGAGAGCCUGAACCAGCCAAGUAGCGUGCAGGAUGACGGCCCUAUGGGUUGUAAACUGCUUUUAUACGGGGAUAAAGUGAGCCACGCGUGGCUUAUUGCAGGUACCGUAUGAAUAAGGACCGGCUAAUUCCGUGCCAGCAGCCGCGGUAAUACGGAAGGUCCGGGCGUUAUCCGGAUUUAUUGGGUUUAAAGGGAGCGUAGGCCGUCUGUUAAGCGUGUUGUGAAAUGUCGGGGCUCAACCUGGGCAUUGCAGCGCGAACUGGCAGACUUGAGUGCGCAGGAAGUAGGCGGAAUUCGUCGUGUAGCG